GUCUUGAAACACGGACCAAGGAGUCUAGCAUGUGCGCGAGUCAUUGGGAACAACUAAACCUAAAGGCGCAAUGAAAGUGAAGGUCCGCCUUGCGCGGACCGAGGGAAGAUGGGCGGUGUCCACCACAAGUUGGCCCGCCCCGCACUCCCGGGGCGUCUCGUUCUCAUUGCGAGAAGAGGCGCACCAAGAGCGUACACGCUGGGACCCGAAAGAUGGUGAACUAUGCCUGGUCAGGACGAAGUCAGGGGAAACCCUGAUGGAGGUCCGUAGCGAUUCUGACGUGCAAAUCGAUCGUCGGAACUGGGUAUAGGGGCGGAAGACUAAUCGAACCAUCUAGUAGCUGGUUCCCUCCGAAGUUUCCCUCAGGAUAGCUGGCGCUCGUCGCCUACGAGUCUCAUCCGGUAAAGCGAAUGAUUAGAGGCAUUGGGGUCGAAACGGCCUCAACCUAUUCUCAAACUUUAAAUGGGUGAGAUCUCCGGCUUGAUCGAACUACUGAAGCCGCGAGACACGGAUCAGAGAGCCAAGUGGGCCAUUUUUGGUAAGCAAAACUGGCGCUGUGGGAUGAACCAAACGCCGAGUUAAAGCGCCUAAAUCGACGCUUAUGGGAUACCAUGAAAGGCGUUGGUAACUUAAGACAGCAGGACGGUGGCCAUGGAAGUCAGAAUCCGCUAAGGAGUGUGUA
This 682-nucleotide ribosomal RNA is filed under the name Cymatodera tuta. RNAcentral's name for it is "eukaryotic LSU rRNA". It matches the Rfam family "Eukaryotic large subunit ribosomal RNA", at positions 651 to 1284 of the family's 3401-position model. Lineage: Eukaryota; Metazoa; Arthropoda; Insecta; Coleoptera; Cleridae. The record is from RNAcentral.